Molecule: ribosomal RNA, 233 nt
Filed under: uncultured Staphylococcus sp.
Lineage: Bacteria; Bacillati; Bacillota; Bacilli; Caryophanales; Staphylococcaceae
Description: partial 16S ribosomal RNA
Rfam family: Bacterial small subunit ribosomal RNA
Source: RNAcentral
UGAGUAACGCGUGGAUAACCUACCUAUAAGACUGGGAUAACUUCGGGAAACCGGAGCUAAUACCGGAUAACAUGUUGAACCGCAUGGUUCAACAGUGAAAGACGGUCUUGCUGUCACUUAUAGAUGGAUCCGCGUCGCAUUAGCUAGUUGGUAAGGUAACGGCUUACCAAGGCAACGAUGCGUAGCCGACCUGAGAGGGUGAUCGGCCACACUGGAACUGAGACACGGUCCAG